UGCCAGCCGCCGCGGUAAUACAGAGGGUGCGAGCGUUAAUCGGAUUUACUGGGCGUAAAGCGCGCGUAGGCGGACAUUUAAGUCAGAUGUGAAAUCCUCGGGCUCAACCUGAGAACUGCAUUUGAUACUGGGUGUCUUGAGUAUGGUAGAGGAGAGUGGAAUUUCCGGUGUAGCGGUGGAAUGCAUAGAUAUCGGAAGGAACAUCAGUGGCGAAGGCGGCUCUCUGGCCCAAUACUGACGCUGAGGCGCGAAAGCGUGGGGAGCAAACAGGAUUAGAUA
Molecule: ribosomal RNA, 279 nt
Filed under: uncultured bacterium
Lineage: Bacteria
Description: partial 16S ribosomal RNA
Rfam family: Bacterial small subunit ribosomal RNA
Source: RNAcentral